GCCAGACUGGAACCGGGAGAGGUAAGAGGUACUACAGGGGUAGGAGGUGAAAUCUUGUAAUCCCUGUGGGACCACCUGUGGCGAAGGCGUCUUACCAGAACGGGUUCGACGGUGAGGGACGAAAGCUGGGGGCACGAACCGGAUUAGAUACCCGGGUAGUCCCAGCCGUAAACGAUGCUCGCUAGGUGUCAGGCAUGGCGCGACCGUGUCUGGUGCCGCAGGGAAGCCGUGAAGCGAGCCACCUGGGAAGUACGGCCGCAAGGCUGAAACUUAAAGGAAUUGGCGGGGGAGCACAACAACGGGUGGAAGCCUGCGGUUUAAUUGGACUCAACGCCGGACAACUCACCGGGGGCGACAGCAAUAUGUAGGCCAAGCUGAAGACUUUGCCUGAAUCGCUGAGAAGUGGUGCAUGG
Molecule: ribosomal RNA, 413 nt
Filed under: uncultured archaeon
Lineage: Archaea
Description: bacterial SSU rRNA
Rfam family: Archaeal small subunit ribosomal RNA
Source: RNAcentral